GGGGCUGACUGGAUUUGACAGUAGGUGCGGUUAGCGUAUUUGCAUGCAGGGUGGAGAGUGUACACACUUGAUCAAUUCACUCGAACUAUAAUUGGCGAAUCUAAUUACGCCAUGGCUGCCUAAUCUUUAGCAUAAAGCGAAGAUAAGGCUUAAUCGGUUGAGUCUCCAGCGAGAUUCCCGGGCCACAUCCCACCGGUUUUUGUUCUGCCGGACCGGUUUUUGGGGUGUCGAAUGUGCAGGACUAGUCCAAUGUUUGCUAUUGGCUGAGGGCGAAACUUAAAGAUAGCUUUGGUGGUUAGUCGGCGGUUGCCUGCCAGCUUUCCAUCGAGAUCCAACUGGCAACUAAGCAUGUAGAAAAUACGAUGAUUCCCUAUCUGGACGCGGGUUCGACUCCCGCCAGCUCCACA
This 407-nucleotide transfer-messenger RNA is filed under the name marine eukaryotic metagenome. It matches the Rfam family "transfer-messenger RNA". Rfam says of the family: Bacterial tmRNA, also known as 10Sa RNA or SsrA, is named for its dual tRNA and mRNA-like properties. The record is from RNAcentral.